AGGGUGACAGGUGGUGGCAUGGUUGUCGUCAGCUCGUGUCGUGAGAUGUUGGUUAAGUCCCGCAACGAGCGCAACCCUCGACCUUAGUUGCCAGCAUUCAGUUGGGCACUCUAAGGUGACUGCCGGCUAAAAGUCGGAGGAAGGUGGGGAUGACGUCAAAUCAUCAUGCCCCUUAUGACCUGGGCUACACACGUGCUACAAUGGGCGGUACAAAGGGUCGCGAACCCGCGAGGGGGAGCCAAUCCCAAAAAGCCGCUCUCAGUUCGGAUUGCAGGCUGCAACUCGCCUGCAUGAAGCCGGAAUCGCUAGUAAUCGCGGAUCAGCAUGCCGCGGUGAAUACGUUCCCGGGCCUU
Molecule: ribosomal RNA, 353 nt
Filed under: uncultured Anoxybacillus sp.
Lineage: Bacteria; Bacillati; Bacillota; Bacilli; Caryophanales; Anoxybacillaceae
Description: bacterial SSU rRNA
Rfam family: Bacterial small subunit ribosomal RNA
Source: RNAcentral